Molecule: ribosomal RNA, 654 nt
Filed under: Triticum aestivum (bread wheat)
Lineage: Eukaryota; Viridiplantae; Streptophyta; Magnoliopsida; Poales; Poaceae
Description: partial small subunit ribosomal RNA
Source: RNAcentral
AUGAAGUCACAACAAGGAGUUUCUUUCAAGAUAUUCUCGGAGGAGCUACAGCAAGCCACCGACAAGUUUGACGAGAAGCACAUCAUCGGCUAUGGAGGACAUGGCACCGUCUACAGGGGGCUUCUCGACAGUGGCGUCGAGGUUGUCGUCAAAAGAUGCAAGACCAUCGACGAGAAGAACAAGAAAGAGUUCGGUCGGGAGAUGUUGAUCCUAUCUCAGAUAAACCACAGGAACAUCGUCAAGUUGUUGGGAUGCUGCCUCGAGGUUGAAGUGCCCAUGUUGGUGUACGAGUUCGUCCGAGAUGGCACGUUGUACCAACUCAUCCAUGGCAGCCCCGUCAAGCGCAUCUCCCUAGCAGCUCGUCUGUAGAUUGCCCAUGAUUCUGCUGAAGCUCUCGCCUACCUGCACUCUUGGGCGUCACCACCCAUCCUCCAUGGCGACGUCAAGUCCUCCAACAUCCUCCUCGAUGGUGGCCUCACGGCCAAGGUCUCCGACUUCGGCGCCUCCAUCCUAGCACCAGCAGACGAGUCACAGUUCGUCACGCUCGUGCAAGGAACCUGUGGCUACCUCGACCCGGAGUUGCGUAUAUCCUGGAACGGGAUGCACGUCCCGCUGGGAGUGGUAGGGGCCAUGCGAAGUCCUUCAACAGUGUAG